CCCAUCUCCCGCCCCACCACCACCGCCCCAUAUCCCGCUCUGCCGUCGCCCCUACUGCUCCACCGAACCGACCUCUUCUUCGAGCAUGAGCCGCUCCUCUCCCCGACACCCUCGUACGCGCUAGGGUUUCGUGCGCCGCCGCCGGUCCUCUCCAACACCGUGACGGGCUUCACGGCCUACUUCGGCCUCAAGCCUUAAUGCUUCCUCUGCUUCUGCGUCGACCGGCUCUUCAGCGACGAUGACGUACAUCAGGCAGCAGGUGAUGCGCGGUGGCUGCGCGAAUUCCUCUACGGCGGAGAUCUCCAGGAUGGGUGCUUGUCUUCUCGGAAGAACGAGACAAUGAAGGAUGCAGAGAAGGAAGGCAACGUGGAAGGCAACGUGGUGUGUUCUUGAUGAUGAUCGAAGAAGAUCGUGUUGGCUGCUGUUCAAGGGACGACAGCCAAAGAAGAAGAAGAUGAUUGCUAUGUUCUGCUGGAUCAGGAUUCUGGAAGACCACCAAGAGGAAUAAGACAAGCAGGCACAUGUGUACCGUCAUGAGCAGCAAAACGAUGAGUAAACCCAAGAACAUCAAGGGGGGAUUAUGUUGGCUGUGGCUGCAGUAGCGUGACAGAUCAAGCGAGCUAGGUUGUGCCAUCUCUGGUCCUCUCUCUUCGAAUGGUGGACACCAGGUGCUUACGAUCGAUCGUGACGGCGGCGGUGCAAGAGCACCGUGUAGCUGGUCUGAGAGUGGCGAUGGACUCAUUGCUCGUUGCUACUAUAUCAUCCAAAGUAGUGGCAGGGCGCAGCGGCACGAACGGCUCAGCCUCUGCCUUGUUCAUCCCAUUACCACGGAGGCGCUUUAAUUACUGACACAUCUGUUCUUAUUAUGCAACUGCAGGUGAUUUCUCAUCUUUCAACUCGGUCUAUUUUACUCGUCAUACAUGGAGAGAGUUUAUGCAAUGUUAGAUGAAGAGUUGGCGGUGCCACGGUGCCAAGGGUUGCUUCUCAAAACUGAUAAUAUCACAUAAUGCUUUUAUAUGCUUAUUGUUAAAUCACGGGCAAAUAACCCACUUCAACCCGCGUGAUAAUUAUGCAGUGAACAGAGCUUUUGUGUAAAUAAACUACCCAACUUUGUCAAGUGAGGUAAUAGAGCAAGUCUUUAAUUUGUGAUUAGUUGUUGUUCAGAUUUCAACUAGCGCUUCAUACAGAACAAUUUUGAGAGCAACUCCCUGCAAAAAAAAUAGAUCAACUAUAAUUGUUGGAAUCCUGAAGGUAGUUCCAUCGAAGUUUGUGAGUAUAUUUGCAAACCUCUGUCUAUCUAUGAAUACUAUUGUCGAGAUAGUUUAAACCAUGUUGUUGGCUUGCUACAAUGCUCAAUGGUUUACCCUUGCUCAGAUCAAUUCUGGUGUGUUUGCAGUGGGAAUGUGGGAUGGUGUAUGAAGAGAUAAAGAAAAUUAUGCUCGCAGAAUAUGAGUAUGUAGUAACAGUUCUCUGUUAUGGUUUGCGACAAUUGUUCUGGUACAUCUCAUUGGUAGUUUAUAUGUAAUGCAAUGCCAUUUUAUAAUUAUCAUGCUAAAAAGUAAUGUUACAUUAGACAUUUUAACAUAAAUGAGUUGGACAACUGAGCCCACAUUAUAUAACUAUGUAUAUUGGGACACAAUGUUUUGCCUCUGUGUCCAAAUGAGCCGGUCAUUCGUCAGUUGGAAUCCGCGCCAAAGAGUUUUCAGUGGUGUUGGUGUUCGCCAGUAGUCCAGUACAUCGAGUAUAGAACAGUCGUGUAUGCUGCAUGUGGUUACGGCGUACAGCGGAACUGACGGAACUAUUUUGAAUCUCGGUGGCUCUGUCUCAGGGUCUUCCUGUACUGAUGGUUGAAAGAUUUCCAUGUGGUCUGUGACAUGGUACAGAUUUUUCGUUUCCUCAUAACUGUGGUUAGAUAAUCAUGGAUGACGAAAGGCAAAAGGAUUCCUUGCCUUCCAAUUUAUCAGUCUUCAGUUACGCUCACGUACUGAGUGAAUAGAUUGCAAUGUUCUGUACUUCUUAUUUCUAAUUGAUUUCAUUCUCUGAUGGUUGCAUUAACUUGCCAAAUAUUUCAUCUGGCGGAUGCAUGGGAGGGGAUAUGUAUCUGCGGCUAUGCGUCUAUGGUGGCAGUGGAACAGUCCUCAUUGUAAGUGAUCUUAGAUGGGGAUGAGGUUAGCAACGAGGGCGAAAGAUGAUGAGGCUCCAGAAUCUGGAGAGUUGUUGUGAAAGCUGAGCCACAAGCACCAGGGUUGUUAUAAAAGGAAAACUCUCUCGACCCAGAUGGAAAUAAUAUUCCUGAAUUGCCUGGGAUGGUUAGUGAUAGUGAAAGUUAUGAUGACAGAUAAUUACUCCUCCAAGAAGAAGAAUCAUAAGAGCUGGCUAUUUGUGGGCCUUUUUCGUCAGUGGUAAGUCGACAUGGGCCUGGUCUGUCGGUGGCUGACGAAAGGCGGUUCGAGCCUGACGUGGUCGUCGAUGAGGAGCUUCUGGAUGUCGCCGGCGCCGGCGAUCCUCGAGGGCAAAGGUUGCGACAAGCGCUGCCGGCGGUGCUUGGGCAGCAACAAUCCGAGCAUGAGGAGGUCAAAGGCGUCGUGGUGGCGCAUUGGAUCUGGAGGAGGAGGCGGGCCAGCGCCGUUUGUACUCAAGACGUAGGAGAUGGUGGAUAGCCCAUCGACGGAAAGAACGGUCUGGUGGAGUGACACGUUGGACACGACCUUCGUGGUCUGGUGCUCGCUGGAGUUCGCAUCUUCAAGCAC
Molecule: long non-coding RNA, 2750 nt
Organism: Triticum dicoccoides
Lineage: Eukaryota; Viridiplantae; Streptophyta; Magnoliopsida; Poales; Poaceae
Exons: 5
Source: RefSeq, a predicted model, not a curated record